GAUGAACGCUGGCGGCGUGCCUAAUACAUGCAAGUCGAGCGAACAGACGAGGAGCUUGCUCCUCUGACGUUAGCGGCGGACGGGUGAGUAACACGUGGAUAACCUACCUAUAAGACUGGGAUAACUUCGGGAAACCGGAGCUAAUACCGGAUAAUAUAUUGAACCGCAUGGUUCAAUAGUGAAAGACGGUUUUGCUGUCACUUAUAGAUGGAUCCGCGCCGCAUUAGCUAGUUGGUAAGGUAACGGCUUACCAAGGCAACGAUGCGUAGCCGACCUGAGAGGGUGAUCGGCCACACUGGAGGUUAGACACGGUCCAGACUCCUACGGGAGGCAGCAGUAGGGAAUCUUACGCAAUGGGCGAAAGCCUGACGGAGCAACGCCGCGUGAGUGAUGAAGGUCUUCGGAUCGUAAAACUCUGUUAUUAGGGAAGAACAAAUGUGUAAUUAACUAUGCACGUCUUGACGGUACCUAAUCAGAAAGCCACGGCUAACUACGUG
RNAcentral lists this ribosomal RNA (497 nucleotides) under uncultured bacterium. Its description in RNAcentral is "partial 16S ribosomal RNA". It matches the Rfam family "Bacterial small subunit ribosomal RNA", at positions 28 to 507 of the family's 1533-position model. The record is from RNAcentral.